GUGGAUCUGCCUUGCACUUCGGGAUAAGCCUGGGAAACUGGGUCUAAUACCGGAUAGGACCAUGCUUUAGUGUGUGUGGUGGAAAGUUUUCGGUGCAAGAUGAGCCCGCGGCCUAUCAGCUUGUUGGUGGGGUAAUGGCCUACCAAGGCGACGACGGGUAGCCGGCCUGAGAGGGUGUACGGCCACAUUGGGACUGAGAUACGGCCCAG
Molecule: ribosomal RNA, 209 nt
Filed under: uncultured Actinomycetales bacterium
Lineage: Bacteria; Bacillati; Actinomycetota; Actinomycetes; Actinomycetales
Description: partial 16S ribosomal RNA
Rfam family: Bacterial small subunit ribosomal RNA
Source: RNAcentral